UACGGGGGGGGCAAGCGUUGUUCGGAAUUACUGGGCGUAAAGGGCUUGUAGGCGGCCAACUAAGUCAGACGUGAAAUCCCCGGGCUCAACCCGGGAACUGCGUCCGAUACUGGGAGGCUUGAAUCCGGGAGAGGGAUGUGGAAUUCCAGGUGUAGCGGUGAAAUGCGUAGAUAUCUGGAGGAACACCGGUGGCGAAGGCGGCAUCCUGGACCGGUAUUGACGCUGAGGCGCGAAAGCCAGGGGAGCAAACGGG
This 253-nucleotide ribosomal RNA is filed under the name uncultured bacterium. RNAcentral describes it as "partial 16S ribosomal RNA". It matches the Rfam family "Bacterial small subunit ribosomal RNA", at positions 524 to 776 of the family's 1533-position model. The record is from RNAcentral.